UACAGAGGGGGCAAGCGUUAUUCGGAAUUAUUGGGCGUAAAGGGCGCGUAGGCGGCUUUGCAAGUGACGGGUGAAAUCCCUCGGCUUAACCGAGGAACUGCCUGUCAAACUGCAUGGCUUGAGACCGGGAGAGGUGAGUGGAAUUCCCAGUGUAGCGGUGAAAUGCGUAGAUAUUGGGAGGAACACCAGUGGCGAAGGCGGCUCACUGGACCGGUACUGACGCUGAGGCGCGAAAGCCAGGGGAGCAAACGGG
Molecule: ribosomal RNA, 253 nt
Filed under: uncultured bacterium
Lineage: Bacteria
Description: partial 16S ribosomal RNA
Rfam family: Bacterial small subunit ribosomal RNA
Source: RNAcentral